Molecule: ribosomal RNA, 301 nt
Filed under: uncultured bacterium
Lineage: Bacteria
Description: partial 16S ribosomal RNA
Rfam family: Bacterial small subunit ribosomal RNA
Source: RNAcentral
CAGCCGCCGCGGGAAUACGAAGGGUGCAAGCGUUAAUCGGAAUUACUGGGCGUAAAGCGUGCGUAGGCGGUGAGUUAAGUCUGUUGUGAAAUCCCCGGGCUCAACCUGGGAAUGGCAAUGGAUACUGGCAAGCUAGAGUGUGUCAGAGGAUGGUGGAAUUCCCGGUGUAGCGGUGAAAUGCGUAGAUAUGCGGAGGAACACCGAUGGCGAAGGCAGCCCCCUGGGCCAAUACUGACGCUCACGCACGAAAGCGUGGGGAGCAAACAGGAUUAGAUACCCCCGUAGUCCCUGUCUCUUAUAC